UGGAAACACCGGUUUCCAUACAAUCAGCAAAGUUAAGUAACAUCAAGCCUGGUCAGUACCUAAAUGGGUGACUGCUUUGGAAUACCAGGUGCUGUAAG
Molecule: ribosomal RNA, 98 nt
Filed under: Acanthosepion pharaonis
Lineage: Eukaryota; Metazoa; Mollusca; Cephalopoda; Sepiida; Sepiidae
Source: RNAcentral